CGGGCGCGCGCUUCCGGCCGCCGGGCUGCGCGGGAGUCGCCGGGAUGGCCCUGCCUGCCGCGGGCGACUUCCGGGAACGAAGGCGGAGCCCGGUGAAGGUCGCUUAUUAAAAUGAUAGCAAAAAAAUUUAAAAAGACAAAUCUACAAGGACAUACUUGAGUCCACAGAAGAAACAAAGCCAAGAGAUCAACUGACAAAAUUUUGGAAGCUGUAAAUCAGAUUGUUAUUGAUCUGAGGAGAUGGAAUAUCUGUCGCCUGCACUGAGGGAAGCCAAGAAGCAAGUUCAUCUAUUCCGGUGAGUCUGGCAGAGCCUGGCCAGUUACAGUUACUAGCCCCACCUCUGAGCUCUGAGGACACAGCAGGACUGACUGAAAACCUGAGAGGUUGCACUAUUCAUCCCCUCCAUCACCAGUGUAUUCAGGUGACUACCUCACCUCCAACAUGGCAGAAGACUAGAGAACUUUCAUUACAGAGGAUCUGAACCAGAAGGCCUCUGGAUCUGAGAACACCUGACAGGUGAGACUGGGCUGCAGUAAUAAAGAUGAAAUUAUAUGAAGUUCACAUACUAAUAGUAGGACUCUAACCCCUUUUCUCCAGUUAGCCACAAGAAUGUUGGCCACUGUGCUUAUACCAUGCUCCCCUACAGCCACCACUCUCCCUGCCCCACCCCCCAACCCUGGGCAAGAAAUGAAAAGAUUCCUCUCUGGGUAAACUGACCAGCCCAGGAGAAAAUACCUCAGUUAUUGAAAAUGGGUGGUCCCCAACAAAACUGGGUCCCAGGCUUCCCUGGUGGCGCAAUGGUUAAGAAUCCGCCUGCCAAUGCAGGGGACACGGGUUCAAGCCCUGAUCCAGGAAGAUCCCACAUGCCGUGGAGCAACUAAGCCCGUGCGCCACAACUACUGAGUCUGUGCUCUAGAGCCCACUAGCCACAACUACUGAAGCCUGCACGCCUAGAGCCCGUGCUCCGCAACAAGAGAAGCCACUGCAAUGAGAAGCCCAUGCACCGCAAAGAAGACCCAACGCAGUCAAAAAUAAAUUAAUUUUAAAAAAAGAAAAAAAAGAUCAACAUGGACUUCCCUGGCGGUCCAGUGGUUAAGACUUUGACUUUCAGCGACUUCCCUGGUGGCACAGUGGUUAAGACUCUGCACUCCCAAUGCAGGGGGCCCGGGUUUGAUCCCUGGUCAGGGAACUAGAUCCCCCAUGCUGUAACUAAGGAGCCGGCAAGCUGCAACUAAGACCCGGCACAACAAUGACGACAACAACAAAAACUUCGUCUUCCAGUGCAGGGGGUGUGGUUUUGAUCCCUGGACAUAUGGAGCUAUGCCUCUCAGCCAAAAAACCAAAACAUAAAACAGAAGCAAUAUUGUAACAUAUUCAAUAAAGACUUUAAAAAUGC
Long non-coding RNA from Lagenorhynchus albirostris (white-beaked dolphin), 1396 nucleotides. RefSeq lists it as uncharacterized. The transcript has 2 exons. The record is from RefSeq and is a predicted model, not a curated record. NCBI's taxonomy places the organism in Eukaryota, Metazoa, Chordata, Mammalia, Artiodactyla, Delphinidae.